CCUACGGGAGGCAGCAGUCGAGAAUCAUUCACAAUGGGGGAAACCCUGAUGGUGCGACGCCGCGUGGGGGAAUGAAGGUCUUCGGAUUGUAAACCCCUGUCAUGUGGGAGCAAAUUAAAAAGAUAGUACCCCAAGAGGAAGAGACGGCUAACUCUGUGCCAGCAGCCGCGGUAAUACAGAGGUCUCAAGCGUUGUUCGGAAUCACUGGGCGUAAAGCGUGCGUAGGCUGUUUCGUAAGUCGUGUGUGAAAGGCGCGGGCUCAACCCGCGGACGGCAGAUGAUACUGCGAGACUAGAGUAAUGGAGAGGGAAGCGGAAUUCGCGGUGUAGCAGUGAAAUGCGUAGAUAUCGAGAGGAACACCCGUGGCGAAGGCGGGUUCCUGGACAUUAACUGACGCUGAGGCACGAAGGCCAGGGGAGCGAAAGGGAUUAGAUACCCUAGUAGUC
RNAcentral lists this ribosomal RNA (446 nucleotides) under uncultured bacterium. RNAcentral's name for it is "partial 16S ribosomal RNA". It matches the Rfam family "Bacterial small subunit ribosomal RNA", at positions 338 to 795 of the family's 1533-position model. The record is from RNAcentral.